This 1916-nucleotide long non-coding RNA is filed under the name Marmota monax (woodchuck). Lineage: Eukaryota; Metazoa; Chordata; Mammalia; Rodentia; Sciuridae. The record is from RNAcentral.
GGAGUAAAGCUGCAGCUUCAGAUGAGACCCCAAGAAAUUGAAGAUGCGGGAACAUGGGGCAUCUGCCAAGGAAAGCCACAGACAGGGGGCAGAGCCAGGCCAGGAGUGGCCAUGUGGGCUGCCAGGGCAAGGUCACAGUGGCAGCGCUGCCCAAGCCUGUGGGGCCCACACCAUACCUCCAUGUGCAUCCCAGAUGCAGACAUGGAGCUACAGUAUUUAACGUUUUCCCUGAUUAUUUUGGUCUUGCUUUCUGAUACCCUGUUUGUCCCUUCUGGAAUGGGAAUGCUUAACCUGUACCACUGUGUGUUGGAAUUUUGUAAGUUAUUUAUUUUUUUCCAGGGGCGUACGGCUAUGAGCCAUGCUGAAACUGCUAACGUGGGCUCUCAGAGGUGGAUUGGACGCAUUUUGCACUGUGAGAUGGACUUGAGUCCUUGGGGGACAGGACAGGAUAUUUGGAUCUUAAGUGUUCGCCGAAAGUCCACAUAUGGAAGAGCUGGUCCCCAGCUGCUGGUGCUGCUAGAGCUGGUGGACCUUAGGAGGUGAGGUCAUCGGAGACGUGCCCUCAGGGGGCUCUGGGGACCCCGGCCUUCCUGCCUCUCCUUGCCUACCAGCUGUGCCGCCAGCUCCGCCCCACCACACAUUCCCCACUCUGAUGUUCUGCCUGGGGGCCAGGCCCAAAGGCACCAGGGCCAGGCCACUGUGGACGAAGCCUCUGAAACCGUGAGAGUAGACCUGUCCUCAUUCAAGUUGGUCAUCCCGGUUAUUGUGUCACAAGUUCUCACACGCCCUUUCAAUGAGCUCACUAAGUAAAGCUUAGCUAUUUGUUCAGACCAACAUUUCUAAACCCUGGCUGUAGAUUAAAGCUACUUAAGGACAGUAAGGAUGUGUGCCUCCCCAGGCGUUUGGUUCAAUUGCUGUGGAGUGGGACCCAAACACAGGACUUUUAGAAGCUCCCAGGUGCAGCAGGUUUGAGACUGUGAGUCUGGGUGUGUGUCUGCCUCCCGGUGGGAGAGAACUUGCUGAGGAUGACCACAGCUGAUCCUCACUCCUGGGGCACCGCAUGGCGCCUUGUGCACUGACGUGCCCAGCACAUGGUGAAGAGUCAGGUGGGCCAGGACCUCUCGUGGAACAGGUCAUGUCUCAUUGUGAUUCCUACUCCAAAAUACAUGGGUGUCGUGAGUGCCAGUCUCACAGAAAAAGCAGAGUUCAUCCGCACGACGCUCCAGCUUGACCAUGAACACAGCCGAGUCCCGGUUCCAGUCCCUCUCCUGUUUGGUGGCCAGGGCUCUUGUGUCCACUACUCUGACCACCCUCUCGAGAGACCACACAUUCUUUCAUUUCAUGUCUCCGCUGAAACUUACUCUCUGAACCUUUUUCUUCUUGAAGUUCUUCCUCUGGCCAUUGAGAUGUGGGUCGGGAACGAGUCUCAGGAGAAUCUGAGUCCUGUUUCCUCCUGAGGAGGCAUUCCUGGGUGAGAGGGCGCCCUGCCACGCCCUCUGGUGGGUAACCAGGAAAAGGGGGCGCCUGACCCCAGCUGAGCCCCCCAGGGUGAGCUGAAAGGACGUGGGCUAAGAAGUCUCCCUCUUUUCUUAUUUAUUGCUUACACGCCCUUCUCUCUUGUUCUGUUUCUCUAAAGAAUCGAUGAUUUUAAUUCCAGUUUUCUUUCAGAAAAAAAUAAAGCAGGUUCUCUGAUGCUUAAAAUUACCAAUAAAAUAAUGAAAGCAAUUUGUAAUAUUUAUUUGAACAGUAAUUUUAAUAUAGACCGAUGCUACUCCUCUUCAGCCAAGGAAAUGCAAUGACUGGCCCUCUGAAAGUCGACGAUAACUAGAAAUCCAACUUCGCAGCUUUCCGUGAUCAGGUCACUGGUUUUUAUAUAACCCACUUUGAAAUGUUCUGUCUAUGCCUACUUUAUAGAA